Molecule: ribosomal RNA, 396 nt
Filed under: Calamaria andersoni (Anderson's reed snake)
Lineage: Eukaryota; Metazoa; Chordata; Lepidosauria; Squamata; Calamariidae
Description: partial 12S ribosomal RNA
Source: RNAcentral
UAGCCUAACACAAUAAUUAAACUACAAAUUAUUCGCCAAAUAACUACGAAGUAAAAACUUAAAACUUAAAAGACUUGACGGUGUCUCACAACAACCUAGAGGAGCCUGUCCACUAACCGAUACUCCACGAUUAACCCAACCCUUUCUAGCCACCAGUCUAUAUACCACCGUCGCCAGCUUACCUUAUGAAAGAAACACAGUGAGCCAAACAACCUAACAUUAACACGACAGGUCGAGGUGUAACUUAUGAGGGGGAAAAGAUGGGCUACAUUUUCUAAAACAGAAAACUACGAAUAAACCAUGAAACAAGAAACUGAAGGCGGAUUUAGCAGUACAUUAAAAAUAAAAUACUUAAUAGAAACCAACGCAAUGAGACGCGUACACACCGCCCGUCAC